Molecule: ribosomal RNA, 497 nt
Filed under: uncultured bacterium
Lineage: Bacteria
Description: partial 16S ribosomal RNA
Rfam family: Bacterial small subunit ribosomal RNA
Source: RNAcentral
GAUGAACGCUGGCGGCGUGCCUAAUACAUGCAAGUCGAGCGAACGGACGAGAAGCUUGCUUCUCUGAUGUUAGCGGCGGACGGGUGAGUAACACGUGGAUAACCUACCUAUAAGACUUGGAUAACUUCGGGAAACCGUAGCUAAUACCAGAUCAUAUUUUGAACGGCAUGGUUCAAAAGUGAAAGACGGUCUUGCUGUCACUUAUAGAUGGAUCCGCGCUGCAUUAGCUAGUUGGUAAGGUAACGGCUUACCAAGGCAACGAUGCAUAGCCGACCUGAGAGGGUGAUCGGCCACACUGGAACUGAGACACGGUCCAGACUCCUACGGGAGGCAGCAGUAGGGAAUCUUCCGCAAUGGGCGAAAGCCUGACGGAGCCACGCCGCGUGAGUGAUGAAGGUCUUCGGAUCGUAAAACUCUGUUAUUAGGGAAGAACAUAUGUGUAAGUAUCUGUGCACAUCUUGACGGUACCUAAUCAGAAAGCCACGGCUAACUACGUG